RNAcentral lists this transfer RNA (74 nucleotides) under Candidatus Atribacteria bacterium. RNAcentral describes it as "tRNA-Met". It matches the Rfam family "tRNA". From Rfam's summary of the family: Transfer RNA (tRNA) molecules are approximately 80 nucleotides in length. Lineage: Bacteria; Pseudomonadati; Atribacterota; Atribacteria. The record is from RNAcentral.
UGUGGGGAUAGAUUUGGUAAUCUGUCUUGUCUCAUAAGCAAGAAGUGGCAGUUCGAUUCUGUCCCCCACUUCCA